GCUGGCGGCGUGCUUAAUACAUGCAAGUCGAACGAGAAACUUCGCCGCAAGGUGAGGGAGUAAAGUGGCGUAAGGGUGAGUAAUACAUAGAUAACUUACCCUCGAGAUCGGGAUAACCCACCGAAAGGUGGAUUAAUACCGGAUAAAACUCGGAUGCUACAAGGUGUCCAAGUCAAAGGCUGCUCGGAAAAGGGUGGCGCUUGAGGAGAGGUUUAUGUUCUAUCAGCUAGUUGGCGAGGUAAUGGCUCACCAAGGCUUUGACGGAUAGCCGGCCUGAGAGGGCGAUCGGCCACACUGGGACUGAGACACUGCCCAGACUCCUACGGGAGGCAGCAGUAGGGAAUAUUGUGCAAUGCCCGCAAGGGUGACACAGCGACGCCGCGUGGGGGAUGAAGGCCUUCGGGUUGUAAACCCCUGUCAGGUGGGAGGAAACUCUUGCUUAAUUAGCAAGAUUGACAUAACCAUCAGAGGAAGCACUGGCUAACUCCGUGCCAGCAGCUGCGGUAAUACGGAGGGUGCAAGCGUUGUUCGGAUUUACUGGGCGUAAAAGGCAUGUAGGCGGCUGGAUCAAUCAGAUGUGGAAUACCCCGGCUUACCCGGGGCACGGCAUUUGAUAUUGUCCGGCUAGAGUACGGGAGAGGAGAGUGGAACUCUUGGUGUAGCGGUGAAAUGCGUAGAUAUCAAGAGGAACACCAGAGGCGAAGGCGACUCUCUGGUCCGUCACUGACGCUGAGAUGCGAAAGCUAGGGGAGCAAACGGGAUUAGAUACCCCGGUAGCCCUAGCCGUAAACGAUGGAUACUGACUUGGGGCAUCUUUAGGUGUCUCAGGCUCAGCUAACGCAGUAAGUAUCCUGCCUGGGGAGUACGAUCGCAAGACUAAAACUCAAAGGAAUUGACGGGGGCUCACACAAGCAGUGGAGCAUCUGGUUCAAUUCGAUACUACGCGAAGAACCUUACCAGGGUUUGACAUGCUGGUAGUAGAAGUUCGAAAGGAUAACGACUUUAAAGUAAUCUGAGGAGCCAGCACAGGUGUUGCAUGGCUGUCGUCAGUUCGUGUCGUGAGAUGUUGGGCUAAGUCCUAUAACGAGCGAAACCCUUGUCUUUAGUUGCUCGGCGCAAGUCGAGCUCUCUAAAGAGACCGCCUCGGUUAACGGGGAGGAAGGUGGGGAUGACGUCAAGUCAGCAUGGCCUUUAUGCCCUGGGCGACACAGGUGCUACAAUGGUCGGUAUAAAGGGUUGCCAAGUCGCAAGGCGGAGCUAAUCCUUAUAAAGCCGAUCUCAGUUCGGAUCGGGGGCUGAAACUCGCCCCCGUGAAGCUGGAAUUGCUAGUAAUCGCGGAUCAGCCACGCCGCGGUGAAUAUGUUCCUGAGCCUUGUACACACCGCCCGUCAAGCCACCCAAGCACGGGGUACCUGAAGUUGUUUUUCUAACCCGCAAGGGACGGAAACACCCAAGGUAAAACGUAUGAGGAGGGCUAAGUCGUAACAAGGUA
RNAcentral lists this ribosomal RNA (1492 nucleotides) under metagenome. RNAcentral's name for it is "bacterial SSU rRNA". It matches the Rfam family "Bacterial small subunit ribosomal RNA". The record is from RNAcentral.